Long non-coding RNA from Leptinotarsa decemlineata (Colorado potato beetle), 884 nucleotides. RefSeq lists it as uncharacterized. NCBI's taxonomy places the organism in Eukaryota, Metazoa, Arthropoda, Insecta, Coleoptera, Chrysomelidae. The record is from RefSeq and is a predicted model, not a curated record.
AUUCUAUGUGUACAUUUUUCCUUUCCUACAGUCAACGGACUCACUCUUCUGUCUCUCUCUCUCUCUCUCUCUCAGUUACAGUCAACGAGAUUCCAUUUGUGACGUCUCCAUUUUCGCCAUAUUUACAUUGUUUGUAAAAUUUCGUUUUUCAGGAUACUCCUGUCGAUUAUGUGGGCGCGGAUACAAGAGAAAACAAGGUUUAUCGCAACACUUGAGAUAUGAAUGUCAUCAAGAACCAAGGUUUUCAUGUCCUUUCUGCGAUUAUAAAGCCAAACUGAAGUGUAAUUUGACCAAACAUCUUACGAUAAAGCAUGGAAACAAAGGAAGCAUUGGAAAAUCUACUCGAUGAGAAUUAUCAGAUCUGUAACAAAAUAUAGAUUCACGACUCAUUAUAUAUGUAUCAUAUUCGUAAUAUUAUAUCAAAAUACUCUGAAGAAAUUAUUCAUCUGGACGAAACGUUUGGUAUUACAAGUUCCAUUUGACCACAGCCUAUCAGCCCGAAUUUUGUUUUAUCUCUUUCUGUUGGGAUAUUUUUUUGUGGAAAAUGUGGCAAACAAUUCAAAACCAAAAGAACACUGCGACAGCAUGACAGGUUCUAUUGUGACACCCAACCAUCUUACGAAUGCCCGCAAUGCCCAUACAAGGCUCAAACUUCAGGGAACCUCAGAAGACAUCAGUUUUUGCUUUCGCAUACGAAUAAAAAAAAGAAGUCAAGACUAACUCUUUAGUUUCUCAUCAUUUCUUUCGUUAUCUAAUUACAUGGUUUGAAAUAUUGAAUUUUUUUUUUUAGGUACAGAUCUUUGAUAAUUGCUUAUUUAAUUUUGUUUUCCAUUCGUAACAAGUUACUUUGUUUCGACAAAUAAAAUAGUGUUUCAUGAUUUGCA